CGUAACCUUACCAGGUCUUGACAUCCCGAUGCUAUUUCUAGAGAUAGAAGUUACUUCGGUACAUCGGUGACAGGUGGUGCAUGGUUGUCGUCAGCUCGUGUCGUGAGAUGUUGGGUUAAGUCCCGCAACGAGCGCAACCCCUAUUGUUAGUUGCCAUCAUUCAGUUGGGCACUCUAGCGAGACUGCCGGUAAUAAACCGGAGGAAGGUGGGGAUGACGUCAAAUCAUCAUGCCCCUUAUGACCUGGGCUACACACGUGCUACAAUGGUUGGUACAACGAGUUGCGAGUCGGUGACGGCGAGCUAAUCUCUUAAAGCCAAUCUCAGUUCGGAUUGUAGGCUGCAACUCGCCUACAUGAAGCCGGAAUCGCUAGUAAUCGCGGAUCAGCACGCCGCGGUGAAUACGUUCCCGGGCCUU
RNAcentral lists this ribosomal RNA (416 nucleotides) under uncultured Streptococcus sp. RNAcentral's name for it is "bacterial SSU rRNA". It matches the Rfam family "Bacterial small subunit ribosomal RNA", at positions 964 to 1382 of the family's 1533-position model. Lineage: Bacteria; Bacillati; Bacillota; Bacilli; Lactobacillales; Streptococcaceae. The record is from RNAcentral.